This 497-nucleotide ribosomal RNA is filed under the name uncultured bacterium. RNAcentral describes it as "partial 16S ribosomal RNA". It matches the Rfam family "Bacterial small subunit ribosomal RNA", at positions 28 to 507 of the family's 1533-position model. The record is from RNAcentral.
GAUGAACGCUGGCGGCGUGCCUAAUACAUGCAAGUCGAGCGAACGGACGAGAAGCUUGCUUCUCUGAUGUUAGCGGCGGACGGGUGAGUAACACGUGGAUAACCUACCUAUAAGACUGGGAUAACUUCGUGAAACCGGAGCUAAUACCGGAUGAUAUUUUGAACCGCAUGGUUCAAAAGUGAAAGACGGUCUUGCUGUCACUUAUAGCUGGAUCCGCGCUGCAUUAGCUAUUUGGUAAGGUAACGGCUUACCAAGGCAACGAUGCAUAGCCGACCUGAGAGGGUGAUCGGCCACACUGGAACUGAGACACGGUCCAGACUCCUACGGGAGGCAGCAGUAGGGAAUCUUCCGCAAUGGGCGAAAGCCUGACGGAGCAACGCCGCGUGAGUGAUGAAGGUCUUCGGAUCGUAAAACUCUGUUAUUAGGGAAGAACAUAUGUGUAAGUAACUGUGCACAUCUUGACGGUACCUAAUCAGAAAGCCACGGCUAACUACGUG